GCACAAGCGGUGGAGCAUGUGGUUUAAUUCGACGCAACGCGAAGAACCUUACCUGGGCUUGACAUCUGGGGAAUCUCAUGGAAACAUGGGAGUGCGGAGCAAUCUGAACCCCAAGACAGGUGCUGCAUGGCUGUCGUCAGCUCGUGUCGUGAGAUGUUGGGUUAAGUCCCGCAACGAGCGCAACCCUUGUCUCUAGUUGCCACCAUUCAGUUGGGCACUCUAGAGAGACUGCCGGUGAUAAACCGGAGGAAGGUGGGGACGACGCCAAGUCCUCAUGGCCUUUAUGCCCAGGGCUACACACGUGCUACAAUGGAUCGUACAAAGGGUCGCGAACCCGCGAGGGGGAGCCAAUCCCAAAAACCGGUCCUCAGUUCGGAUUGGAGUCUGCAACUCGACUCCAUGAAGUUGGAAUCGCUAGUAAUCGUGGAUCAGCAUGCCACGGUGAAUACGUUCCCGGGCCUU
Molecule: ribosomal RNA, 462 nt
Filed under: uncultured Desulfobacca sp.
Lineage: Bacteria; Pseudomonadati; Thermodesulfobacteriota; Desulfobaccia; Desulfobaccales; Desulfobaccaceae
Description: bacterial SSU rRNA
Rfam family: Bacterial small subunit ribosomal RNA
Source: RNAcentral